AAGGUUACACUGUCUCCUUUUUCUAAUCAGUAAAACUAAUCUUCCCGUGAAGAAGCGGGGAUCCUUAUAUAAGACGAGAAGACCCUAUGGAGCUUUAAACGAAAUAACAUCUACCAACUCAACCAACAAUUUCAGAAAAUUAAUACUAAACUUGGUAUAAUGAUUACUAGUUUUAGGUUGGGGUGACCGCGGAGCAAAAAACAACCUCCGCAUUGAAUGGACCUACACUCCUAAACAAAAAACCACAACUUUAUGUAUCAACAUAUUGACAUCCAUUGACCCAUUAAUUUGAUCAACGAACCAAGUUACCCUAGGGAUAACAGCGCAAUCCAUUUCAAGAGCCCCUAUCGACAAAUGG
This 358-nucleotide ribosomal RNA is filed under the name Odontophrynus sp. t MP-2021. Its description in RNAcentral is "partial large subunit ribosomal RNA". It matches the Rfam family "Bacterial large subunit ribosomal RNA", at positions 2007 to 2515 of the family's 2925-position model. Lineage: Eukaryota; Metazoa; Chordata; Amphibia; Anura; Alsodidae. The record is from RNAcentral.